GGCGCCGUGGCUCAGUUGGUCAAAGCGCCUGUCUAGUAAACAGGAGAUCGCGAGUUCGAAUCUCGCCGGUGCCU
This 74-nucleotide transfer RNA is filed under the name Eumeta japonica. It matches the Rfam family "tRNA". From Rfam's summary of the family: Transfer RNA (tRNA) molecules are approximately 80 nucleotides in length. Their secondary structure includes four short double-helical elements and three loops (D, anti-codon, and T loops). The record is from Rfam by way of RNAcentral. Lineage: Eukaryota; Metazoa; Arthropoda; Insecta; Lepidoptera; Psychidae.